Molecule: unclassified non-coding RNA, 149 nt
Filed under: soil metagenome
Description: partial internal transcribed spacer 1
Source: RNAcentral
CCGAGUUUACAGCUCCCAAACCCCUGCUGAACAUACCUAUACGUUGCCUCGGCGGAUCAGCCCGCGCCCCGUAAAAAGGGACGGCCCGCCCGAGGACCCCUAAACUCUGUUUUUAGUGGAACUUCUGAGUAAAACAAACAAAUAAAUCA